RNAcentral lists this ribosomal RNA (423 nucleotides) under uncultured Glomeromycotina. RNAcentral's name for it is "SSU rRNA". It matches the Rfam family "Eukaryotic small subunit ribosomal RNA", at positions 671 to 1092 of the family's 1831-position model. The record is from RNAcentral. Lineage: Eukaryota; Fungi; Glomeromycota.
UGGUACGUACUGGUAUCAUUGGUUUCUCCUUUCUGACGAACCAUGAUGUCAUUAAUUUGGUGUUAUGGGAAGUUAGGACUGUUACUUUGAAAAAAUUAGAGUGUUUAAAGCAGGCUUUGGCUUGAAUACAUUAGCAUGGAAUAAUGAAAUAGGACGUUCGAACCUAUUUUGUUGGUUUCUAGGAUCAACGUAAUGAUUAAUAGGGAUAGUUGGGGGCAUUAGUAUUCAAUUGUCAGAGGUGAAAUUCUUGGAUUUAUUGAAGACUAACUACUGCGAAAGCAUUUGCCAAGGAUGUUUUCAUUAAUCAAGAACGAAAGUUAGGGGAUCGAAGACGAUCAGAUACCGUCGUAGUCUUAACCAUAAACUAUGCCGACUAGGGAUCGGAUGAUGUUAAUUUUUUAAUGACUCAUUCGGCGCCUUACG